ACGGCUCAGUAACACGUGGCUAAUCUGCCCUUAGGACGAGAACAACCCCGGGAAACUGGGGCUAACUCUCGAUAGGCGAAGAACUCUGGAAUGAGUCUUUACCUAAAAAGCUUCACGUUAUCCUCGUGAAGUCGCCUAAGGAUGAGGCCGCGACCGAUCAGGUUGUUGGCGAGGUAAUGGCUCACCAAGCCUUUUACCGGUGCGGGCCGUGGGAGCGGGAGCCCGGAGAUGGGCACUGAGACAAGGGCCCAGGCCCUACGGGGCGCAGCGGUCGCGAAAACUUUGCAAUAAGCGAAAGCUUGACAGGGCUAUCCCGAGUGCCAUCCGCUGAGGAAGGCUUUUACCCAGUCUAGAACGCUGGGGGAAUAAGGAGAGGGCAAGUCUGGUGUCAGCCGCCGCGGUAAUACCAGCUCUCCGAGUGGUGUGGAUGUUUAUUGGGCCUAAAGCAUCCGUAGCUGGCUAAGUUAGUCCCUUGUUAAAUCCACCGAAUUAAUCGUUGGAUUGCGGGGGAUACUGCUUGGCUAGGGGACGAGAGAGGCAGACGGUAUUUUCGGGGUAGGGGUGAAAUCCUAUAAUCCCGGGAAGACCACCAGUGGCGAAGGCUGUCUGCUAGAACGCGCCCGACGGUGAGGGAUGAAAGCUGGGGGAGCGAACCGGAUUAGAUACCCGGGUAGUCCCAGCUGUAAACGAUGCAGGCUAGGUGUUUGGACGGCCACGUGCCGUUCUAGUGCCGCAGGGAAGCUGUUAAGCCUGCCGCCUGGGGAGUACGAUCGCAAGAUUGAAACUUAAAGGAGUUGGCGGGGGAGCAC
This 809-nucleotide ribosomal RNA is filed under the name uncultured archaeon. Its description in RNAcentral is "bacterial SSU rRNA". It matches the Rfam family "Archaeal small subunit ribosomal RNA", at positions 85 to 879 of the family's 1478-position model. RNAcentral also lists the same sequence under 1 other name. The record is from RNAcentral.